RNAcentral lists this ribosomal RNA (497 nucleotides) under uncultured bacterium. RNAcentral's name for it is "partial 16S ribosomal RNA". It matches the Rfam family "Bacterial small subunit ribosomal RNA", at positions 28 to 507 of the family's 1533-position model. The record is from RNAcentral.
GAUGAACGCUGGCGGCGUGCCUAAUACAUGCAAGUCGAGCGAACAGACGAGGAGCUUGCUCCUCUGACGUUAGCGGCGGACGGGUGAGUAACACGUGGAUAACCUACCUAUAAGACUGGGAUAACUUCGGGAAACCGGAGCUAAUACCGGAUAAUAUAUUGAACCGCAUGGUUCAAUAGUGAAAGACGGUUUUGCUGUCACUUAUAGAUGGAUCCGCGCCGCAUUAGCUAGUUGGUAAGGUAACGGCUUACCAAGGCAACGAUGCGUAGCCGACCUGAGAGGGUGCUCGGCCACACUAGAACUGAGACACGGUCCAGACUCCUACGGGAGGCAGCAGCAGGGAAUCUUCCGCAAUGGGCGAAAGCCUGACGGAGCAACGCCGAGUGAGUGAUGAAGGUCUUCGGAUCGUAAAACUCUGUUAUUAGGGAAGAACAAAUGUGUAAGUAACUAUGCACGUCUUGACGGUACCUAAUCAGAAAGCCACGGCUAACUACGUG